Molecule: transfer RNA, 84 nt
Filed under: Planotetraspora mira
Lineage: Bacteria; Bacillati; Actinomycetota; Actinomycetes; Streptosporangiales; Streptosporangiaceae
Description: tRNA-Trp
Source: RNAcentral
CGGUGAGGUGGGGUGCCUGGGCGAGGAUGUCGCGCUCCAGCCGCCGCAGUCCGGGGCCGGGAUCCACACCCAGCUCACCGGCCA